This 450-nucleotide ribosomal RNA is filed under the name uncultured Glomeromycotina. Its description in RNAcentral is "SSU rRNA". It matches the Rfam family "Eukaryotic small subunit ribosomal RNA", at positions 569 to 1023 of the family's 1831-position model. Lineage: Eukaryota; Fungi; Glomeromycota. The record is from RNAcentral.
AGCAGCCGCGGUAAUUCCAGCUCCAAUAGCGUAUAUUAAAGUUGUUGCAGUUAAAAAAGCUCGUAGUUGAAUUUCGGGAUCAAAUUGUCGGUCGUGCCUCGGUACGUACUGGUAUUAUUGGUUCCUCCCUUCUGACGAACCACGAUGUCAUUAAUUUGGUGUCAUGGGGAAUCAGGACUGUUACUUUGAAAAAAUUAGAGUGUUUAAAGCAGGCUCGCGCUUGAAUACAUUAGCAUGGAAUAAUGAAAUAGGACGUUUGAUUCUAUUUUGUUGGUUUCUAGGAUCGACGUAAUGAUUAAUAGGGAUAGUUAGGGGCAUUAGUAUUCAAUUGUCAGAGGUGAAAUUCUUGGAUUUAUUGAAGACUAACUACUGCGAAAGCAUUUGCCAAGGAUGUUUUCAUUAAUCAAGAACGAAAGUUAGGGGAUCGAAGACGAUCAGAUACCGUCGUAG